RNAcentral lists this long non-coding RNA (1143 nucleotides) under Oryzias javanicus (javanese ricefish). RNAcentral's name for it is "lncRNA (ENSOJAG00000023153.1)". Lineage: Eukaryota; Metazoa; Chordata; Actinopteri; Beloniformes; Adrianichthyidae. The record is from RNAcentral.
UAUAUUAUAUAUAUAUAUAUAUAUAUAUAAAGGAUGCCCUUUAGUGUUGCAAAACCUGAAAAAAAGGUCCCCAUAAUCCAUCAAAACCAGUACAAGUGUCAACGGACGUGGAUGUCCUCCAGUUUUUUUGUUUUUUUUUUUUUUUUUUUUUUUUGUAUUUUACAUAUAUUUGUAAAUUAUAUUUGUUUAUAUAUUUAUAUAUUGUAUAUUGCGUUGUAUUUUGAAAUGUGCCUAUAAAAGACAAUUAUUCACAUUGAUGAAGUGAAGUAUUUUCCAGGGAAUGAAAUCAGCGUCCCCGUGAUCCCGUCAGCCAAUCAGCAGGUCGCACCUGCAGCCACUCACUGCUCUUUAGCAGCAAUCAGGAGUCCUCUGCUCCACAGUACUCCAGCUCCCCGCUCUGCGUCACGCGCGUCUCCCUCUCCGGUCCAGGACGCACGCGGACUGUCCCGGAUCUGCGCAAAUGCAACUGAAGAACGGUCACGCGGCCGCCAUGGACAAGCGCGUGGACCUGGGCUCGCUCUUCUGCAUGAUCGGACGGCACGGCCCCGCCGUGGCUGUGGCCGUGAUCGCCGUGGUGUCCGUGCUGGCGGGGUUCAUCAUCUACCGGAACGUGAAGGGGAAGCGGAGGAAGGCCGCCGACGGGGACGCGCCGCCGCGACCAGAGCAGGAAUCGAACCCGCGAGAGUCACGCGACCGUGUCCGGUCAACAGAUGAAAGCGCAGAGGACCUGUCGAAAUAUAAGGAGGCCGAUUCGCCUCAAAGCAGCAUCCGGAAUCGCCGCGCUGUUAUUGAUGAGCUAGCCUCGUCUCACCGGCCUACUGAGAAAAUCUCUGGUCAUGCUCAGACGCCCACCUCCUCCCCGGUACAGGACUCUGAGAACCUGACAUGUUCAAAAGAUUUGGACAAGACUCUGGAAUAUGACGGGAUGAUGGCAGACACAGAAGUGGCAAGUUGUGUCCGUGCUUCCAAAAACCAUCUCAGCCAAUCAGAACCUGUGAUGGGAGAGCAUCACCAGGAUCAAAAUGGAGUGAGUGAAAUUUAUUUUCCACUUAUUUAUAAAUAUUACUGCUUUAAGAAAACAAUAGAACCAUAAGGUUUUAAAAAGGCAAUUUUUAAUCCAAAAUGUUAUACUGUUAAAGUUAC